This 1342-nucleotide long non-coding RNA is filed under the name Mytilus galloprovincialis (Mediterranean mussel). Lineage: Eukaryota; Metazoa; Mollusca; Bivalvia; Mytilida; Mytilidae. The record is from RNAcentral.
GAAAACAACCAUCAGGUUAAAAUUCAAGUUUUGUCCAUUAUCUUUAUGUUAUGUAUCAGUAUGUAUGGUCGGAUUAUGUUUCUGUGUGAAAGAGAGAGUUGUUCCCCUUUUGCCAGUAUCUUGUUGUAUUUAUGUUUGUGACGUCAUUCUUUGUCUGAUAUUGGAAGCUGAUGUGUUUUUAUGUGUCCGUAUAUAAUCGCCUCCAUCCAUGCUACCAGAGCUAUUCCCCUAGUCUGUAAUAUAGUGGGGACCCGAAACGAUCGUGAAUAAUGAUUUAUACAUAUUUUGGAUUUUAAUUUUUCAUUGGAUUUUGGAUAUUUUUACUUAAAAAGUUGACCGAUUGUUCCUGAUGGAUCCUAGCUGUUAUUCCGCCAUGAUGCUGAUAACUUCUUAUUGAUUUUAAAAAUUAAGCCGAACUUUUAUUAUAGUACCAACAUUUAAAUUGCAUUUUUGAAGAGAAGAACAGACCAUGUCUCGUCUCGUGUACGUACUGUCUUUGUGAAUUAUUUAUGAAUGUCUACAAGUAUUCCGUUUUUAACCAGAAAGCACGUGAGAUUUAUCUCAUUGCAUCAUGAUUAUUCGAUUUCCGUAAUAUUUGGAUCCUGUUUAUAUAUGCUAUUUUCAUUUGACAUUAUUCAAUUUGCAUCGGUGAUAACUGUAUCGCCAUGCAUAGUCUAAAGUUCCGAUUUCAUCAGAAGAGACAUUUUACAUAACAACUGUUGACCUAGAUUUAUCCGUUGAACCUUCUACACGUGUGAUGUGUAUUUCGUAAUGUUGACUGUAUUGCUGUUGUGUUCAUUCCGCCGUAACCUUUAUUUGACUCCGUCUUUUAAAACGUAAUUAUAUUUACUGUGUUUUGGUGAUAAGGGAGCUACCAUUUGAUUUUUAUGGGGGGCUAGGAUGAAAUUUGAAAAAAAUAGGCAGGACAGGAGUUUUGAGUAAAAAAAAAGGCAGGAUGAGACACUUGCAAAAAAAAAAAGUCAGGACGACAAUUUAGGUAAAAAAAGUCAGGAUAAACUAAAAAAAAAAAAGGCAGGACCGAACAGAGUGAAAAAUAAAAAGGCAGGACAGAGAUUACAGCUAAAAAAAAAUGCAGGACAAAAUUUUUCAUCCUAGCCCCCCAUAAAAAUCAAAUGGUAGCUCCCUAACUGUAUCGCCAUGGUUUUGCAGAUUUCCGAGAAGACCAAUUUUAAAGAAAAGCUGAUGAAUUUAUUCUGUACGAGAACAUUCUAUUUUUAACCAUGUUGAUUUUAUGAAUCCAGAUACUUUUCAUGCUAAUUUUGAUCUACAUUAUUUGUUUACUUUGAAAUUAAGCUAAUGUGAAUGUGUUUAUCAUUUAGCG